GUAAUGAACACCUGGAAGGAGUAGUGCAGAGAAGUAUAAUACCCCAGAGAGCAUGUCUUUUGGGCCCCUGGAAGGCCUCCAGCAUCCAUAGGAGACUGGAUCCAGUGCUACUUCAUGAAUGGUUUCUAUUUCAUUUUGCCUUCCUCAGACUACUAUAUUUCCAUUUUUCCCAGUUCAUGGACAUUUCUAGCAUCCCUGGCUUAUAUCCAAUCUCUGAAAGCCUGACCAGAUUAGAAGACAGCACUUCCAUUUUGUGGAGACAUCCAACCUGAGGACAGUGCCCUAAGCAAGCAAGCGGUGCUAGCCAACCUCAGUCAGCCAGUGGCAGGACACCUGCAAGUGACAGUCAGGAGCAUGGGGAGACAGGGAGAAGGAAGGUGGAAGUCUGCGCCGUGUCACUAGCACAGCAUGAGGAAUCCUCUGUCCUGUCUUAGGCUGCUGAUCCACACUGCAGGCUGAAAAUGCUGCUGCUGUUCACAUCUCCCUCAGGGAAACCGUGACUGAGUUUGUGCCUUGCCCAGCAUCUUGCAUUGACAACAUUUUGGCAGCUGGAAAUUCACAUGCAUGUUCCUGGAAAUUUGAGGUGAUUCGUACAAUAUCCCAACAGACUGAUGGAACAAUGCAAAAAUGAAAAGAUAUUAACUAGCGGCGACACUUACCAGAAGGACCAUCCGUAGUCCCAUGAAUGAGGCCUCCAGUCCUCUGGUCCAAGGCUGACUGUCACUUGGAAAACUUGAGUAUACAUCAUGUGUGCCACCAUCCCCAAGAGACCUGAGAAUUUUAUGGGUCUUUUAUGCCUCCUAUUCUAAUGUGGAGGUGUUUGCAGAGGAAAGGUGUGACUGAGAGCUCAUUAUUUUACAUCAUACUGAAUUCUCAAUUAAGAGGAGAGUUAAAGAAAGAAAACCGUUGAAGAAAAUUUUGCACAAUUAGCAUUGCCUCUAACCAUGCUGCUGCAAAACAAGGGUAUACCACCCACAAGAUAUGUCACUUAGCCCAUCUCAGACAGGCCUCAGUAUUACAGACUACCCUGAGGCUUGUCAUAGACACUUGGAGCCAUAAGGAGGUUUGAGAAGGCCAGAACUAACUUCAGCAAGGCUGUUCUGUUCUGAUCCAUCAUACAAAGAUUUAAUGGGGGUUGCGGUAAUGUUCAGACCUUUCACUGUGUGGGAGGCUGGGAUGCCAGUCCAGUGACACAGGUGAGUAGGAGGUCAUGAGCAGAGACUGCUGAAAUUCAGGCACCAAAGUGAAAUUGAGGCAUUUACUGCUUUUUCUGCCUAACUGGGGUGGGGAUGUUGGGGGUGGACACUUGUCUCUGCUGUCAAUGGCAAUAUGCAAUGUAUAAGCUAUAG
Oxyura jamaicensis (ruddy duck) is the source of this 1349-nucleotide long non-coding RNA. RefSeq lists it as uncharacterized. NCBI's taxonomy places the organism in Eukaryota, Metazoa, Chordata, Aves, Anseriformes, Anatidae. The record is from RefSeq and is a predicted model, not a curated record. The transcript is spliced from 5 exons.